UGCCGGAGGCCAUUGCUAUCGGAGUUCUAUUUAGCCAUGCUAGUCGCACGAGUUCACACUCGUGGCGGAUAGCUCAGUAACACGUGGCCAAACUGCCCUAUGGAUCGGGAUAACCUCGGGAAACUGAGGCUAAUCCCGAAUACGGCUCUCCCACUGGAAUGUGGAGAGCCCGAAACGCUCAGGCGCCAUAGGAUGUGGCUGCGGCCGAUUAGGUAGACGGUGGGGUAACGGCCCACCGUGCCGAUAAUCGGUACGGGUUGUGAGAGCAAGAGCCCGGAGAUGGAUUCUGAGACAAGAAUCCAGGCCCUACGGGGCGCAGCAGGCGCGAAAACUUUACACUGCACGACAGUGCGAUAAGGGAACUCCGAGUGCGAGGGCAUAUCGUCCUCGCUUUUCUGAACCGUAAGGUGGUUCAGGAACAAGGGCUGGGCAAGACCGGUGCCAGCCGCCGCGGUAAUACCGGCAGCCCGAGUGAUGGCCGCUAUUAUUGGGCCUAAAGCGUCCGUAGCCGGCCGAACAGGUCCAUCGGGAAAUCUGCUCGCUCAACGAGCAGGCGUCCGGUGGAAACCAGUCGGCUUGGGGCCGGAAGACCUGAGGGGUACGUCCGGGGUAGGAGUGAAAUCCCGUAAUCCUGGACGGACCGCCGGUGGC
This 651-nucleotide ribosomal RNA is filed under the name uncultured haloarchaeon. RNAcentral's name for it is "bacterial SSU rRNA". It matches the Rfam family "Archaeal small subunit ribosomal RNA", at positions 15 to 667 of the family's 1478-position model. Lineage: Archaea; Methanobacteriati; Methanobacteriota; Halobacteria; Halobacteriales; Halobacteriaceae. The record is from RNAcentral.